RNAcentral lists this long non-coding RNA (669 nucleotides) under Malus domestica (apple). RNAcentral's name for it is "long non-coding RNA (MDOM_LNC013891)". The record is from RNAcentral. Lineage: Eukaryota; Viridiplantae; Streptophyta; Magnoliopsida; Rosales; Rosaceae.
GGCAUCCUCAAAGACAAGCAAAGUUGAAGAAUGGACUCAAGUCACUCCUAAGAAAUUGCACAAGAAGCAUACGUCUCCUCCACAAGUCCGCCAAUCGAAAAGGGGGCAAAGCAGCUCUUGUCAACCUUCAAAGCAACGUGAACGUGUUAAAGAUGAUGAAAUUGUGACACAAAGAUCGUCCGUUGCCAUCACGAUGCGCGACUUCUUGCCCGAAGACUUCUUCAAUCACUCGGUCAAGGCUCCUUGCUAUGAAGAUUGUGAGGAACACCUCUCCAAAAUUGCUUGACAAAUUCAUCAAUGCUCCCUGUUCGCACGAGCCUAAACUGCACGAACCAAAGCUCCUUGUCCGCAUGAGCCUAAACUGUAGGACACGAAGCUCCUUGCCCGCACGAGUCUAAACUGCAUGGCACAAAGCUCCUGGUCUGCACGAGCAUAAAAGGCAACAUCAACGCUCCUGACCCGCACGAGCAUAAAAGGCGACAUCAACGCUCCUGGUCUGCACGAGCAUAAAAGGCAACACCAAAGCUCCUGGCCCGCAAGAGCAUAAACUAUGUACGGCAAAAUCAUCAUCAAAAUCACUGUUAAAUUCAUCACUCAUUUGAACUACGUUAUGGCUUGAUCUCUUCUUUGGAAGGGUACGUAGGCGGCUUGAACAUUCAAUUUCGAGUU